AACGAACGCUGGCGGCAUGCCUAACACAUGCAAGUCGAACGAGAUCUUCGGGUCUAGUGGCGCACGGGUGCGUAACGCGUGGGAAUCUGCCCCUUGGUUCGGAAUAACAGUUGGAAACGACUGCUAAUACCGGAUGAUGACGAAAGUCCAAAGAUUUAUCGCCAGAGGAUGAGCCCGCGUAGGAUUAGCUAGUUGGUGUGGUAAAGGCGCACCAAGGCGACGAUCCUUAGCUGGUCUGAGAGGAUGAUCAGCCACACUGGGACUGAGACACGGCCCAGACUCCUACGGGAGGCAGCAGUGGGGAAUAUUGGACAAUGGGCGAAAGCCUGAUCCAGCAAUGCCGUGUGAGUGAUGAAGGCCUUAGGGUUGUAAAGCUCUUUUACCCGGGAUGAUAAUGACAGUACCGGGAGAAUAAGCUCCGGCUAACUCCGUGCCAGCAGCCGCAGUAA
This 449-nucleotide ribosomal RNA is filed under the name uncultured bacterium. RNAcentral's name for it is "partial 16S ribosomal RNA". It matches the Rfam family "Bacterial small subunit ribosomal RNA", at positions 29 to 523 of the family's 1533-position model. The record is from RNAcentral.